RNAcentral lists this ribosomal RNA (468 nucleotides) under uncultured bacterium. RNAcentral's name for it is "partial 16S ribosomal RNA". It matches the Rfam family "Bacterial small subunit ribosomal RNA", at positions 28 to 507 of the family's 1533-position model. The record is from RNAcentral.
GACGAACGCUGGCGGCGUGCUUAACACAUGCAAGUCGAACGGAAAGGCCCUGCUUUUGUGGGGUGCUCGAGUGGCGAACGGGUGAGUAACACGUGAGUAACCUGCCCUUGACUUUGGGAUAACUUCAGGAAACUGUGGCUAAUACCGGAUAGGAGCUCCUGCUGCAUGGUGGGGGUUGGAAAGUUUCGGCGGUUGGGGAUGGACUCGCGGCUUAUCAGCUUGUUGGUGGGGUAGUGGCUUACCAAGGCUUUGACGGGUAGCCGGCCUGAGAGGGUGACCGGCCACAUUGGGACUGAGAUACGGACCAGACUCCUACGGGAGGCAGCAGUGGGGAAUAUUGCACAAUGGGCGGAAGCCUGAUGCAGCAACGCCGCGUGCGGGAUGACGGCCUUCGGGUUGUAAACCGCUUUCGCCUGUGACGAAGCGUGAGUGACGGUAAUGGGUAAAGAAGCACCGGCUAACUACGUG